GGCAGUUGGCACUUUAUUUUUUUUUUUAAAAAAGAUUAUUAUAGAAUGUGUAAAAACAAUGUUAAAUAUAAACCGAAAAAUAAUUACAAUUAAAUUAAAGCUUUUUAAAGAAAUUAAAUUAAAACUAAAAUUAAUUGGACAUUAUUAGUCCUUGAACCAAAACCCAGAAGACAUCUCCAAUCCAAGCUCCAACAUCAUGGCAUUUCCCAAUAUUUAUAGCAAUAACCAAAUAUCUUCUUUGAAAGCACACAAACAACAACAUAAACUCCCGAUUUUAUAGCAAAAUCAAAAUAAUUUAUAUAUCAAACAAAUUGUCAACUACGCAAACCUAAAAUUCAAUAAACAAUAACAUGGAAACCCAAAAAUUUUGGGAUUGGGAUUUUAUAGUUGCUAGUCACCAUUGUUGGUGCCGCAUCAGUCAACAGCAACCCAUGAUUCUUUGAACUGCCAGAAGCCUCUCGAUAUCGCGUCAAGCUCCUGCCGCUUGUUUCCACCUAGAAAUGGUCACUCGUUGCGGUAGUGCAAUUGGUUAUGUGACCCUUGUGACGUCCAUGGAAGGGGAAAAGCGAAAAACCUUGUUGGUGACGUCCAUGGAAGGGGAAAAGCGAAAAACCUUGUUGGGGAGUGUGAAUAGAGGAGGGAAGAAAAUGAGCACUUGUUGCAGAGUGUAAAUGGAGGAGGGAAGAUGGAGCAUGAGGGGUCACAGAGAAGGAAGAGAAAAAAAUAAUUUUUUUUCUUUUAUCUUUAUUCAUCGUUGUAAUUUUACUAUUCUACCUUUAUAAUAGUUAAGUUGAUAAUGAUUUUUAACGGAAUAGGUGCGCUGUGAUAAUUGUUGAAAAAUUAGGGUAUACGGUACAUUUGAAGAUUUUUAUGGGAGAUGGCGAAAAAUAAUCCUAAAAAAAAUAAUUAUAAUAAGUGGUAGAUAUUUUUGAACGCUAUAAAAGUGAUGAUUGAUAGAAUUUUC
Molecule: long non-coding RNA, 964 nt
Filed under: Citrus maxima (pomelo)
Lineage: Eukaryota; Viridiplantae; Streptophyta; Magnoliopsida; Sapindales; Rutaceae
Description: long non-coding RNA (CMAX_LNC002263)
Source: RNAcentral